AUACGGAGGGUGCAAGCGUUGUUCGGAAUCAUUGGGCGUAAAGAGCGUGUAGGCGGUUAGAUAAGUCAGAUGUGAAAGCCCUGGGCUCAACCUAGGAAGUGCAUCUGAAACUAUCUGACUUGAGUACGGGAGAGGGAAGUGGAAUUCCUGGUGUAGGGGUGAAAUCCGUAGAUAUCAGGAAGAACACCGGUGGCGAAGGCGACUUCCUGGACCGAUACUGACGCUGAGACGCGAAAGCAUGGGGAGCAAACAGGAUUAGAUACCCGAGUAGUCC
RNAcentral lists this ribosomal RNA (274 nucleotides) under uncultured bacterium. Its description in RNAcentral is "partial 16S ribosomal RNA". It matches the Rfam family "Bacterial small subunit ribosomal RNA", at positions 523 to 796 of the family's 1533-position model. The record is from RNAcentral.